CCUACGGGGGGCAGCAGUGGGGAAUAUUGGUCAAUGGGCGCAAGCCUGACCCAGCAACGCCGCGUGAAGGAAGAAGGCUUUCGGGUUUUAAACCUCUUUUCUCAGGGACGAAGAAUGUGACGGUACCUGAGGAAUAAGCCACCGCUAACUACGUGCCAGCAGCCGCGGCAAUACGUAGGUGGCAAGCGUUAUCCGGAUUUAUUGGGUGUAAAGGGAGUGUAGGCGGGAGAGGAAGUCAGAUGUGAAAACUCAGGGCUCAACCCUGAGACUGGAUUUGACACUGUGUUUCGUGAGUGCAGGAGAGGAAAUCGGAAUUCGGUGUGUAGCGGUGAAAUGCGUAGAUAUACGGAGGAACACCAGUGGCGAAGGCGGAUUGCUGGACAGUAACUGACGCUGAGGCGCGAAAGCGUGGGGAGCAAACAGGAUUAGAUACCCGGGUAGUC
This 443-nucleotide ribosomal RNA is filed under the name uncultured bacterium. Its description in RNAcentral is "partial 16S ribosomal RNA". It matches the Rfam family "Bacterial small subunit ribosomal RNA", at positions 338 to 795 of the family's 1533-position model. The record is from RNAcentral.